This 68-nucleotide transfer RNA is filed under the name Marmota monax (woodchuck). RNAcentral describes it as "tRNA.Ala". Lineage: Eukaryota; Metazoa; Chordata; Mammalia; Rodentia; Sciuridae. The record is from RNAcentral.
GUUGUGGCUCAGUGGUAAAGUGCUUGCCUAGCACAUCUGAGGCACUGGGUUCGAUUCUCAGCACAACA